RNAcentral lists this ribosomal RNA (465 nucleotides) under uncultured bacterium. Its description in RNAcentral is "bacterial SSU rRNA". It matches the Rfam family "Bacterial small subunit ribosomal RNA", at positions 331 to 794 of the family's 1533-position model. The record is from RNAcentral.
CCAGACUCCUACGGGAGGCAGCAGUGAGGAAUAUUGGUCAAUGGGCGGAAGCCUGAACCAGCCAAGCCGCGUGAGGGAGGAAGGUACAGAGUAUCGUAAACCUCUUUUGUCAGGGAACAAAGACUGGGACGCGUCCCCGGAUGAGUGUACCUGAAGAAAAAGCAUCGGCUAACUCCGUGCCAGCAGCCGCGGUAAUACGGAGGAUGCGAGCGUUAUCCGGAUUUAUUGGGUUUAAAGGGUGCGUAGGCGGACUGGAAAGUCAGCGGUAAAAUCGAGAGGCUCAACCUCUGUCCGCCGUUGAAACUGUCGGUCUUGAGUGGGCGAGAAGUAUGCGGAAUGCGUGGUGUAGCGGUGAAAUGCAUAGAUAUCACGCAGAACUCCGAUUGCGAAGGCAGCAUGCCGGCUCCACACUGACGCUGAGGCACGAAAGCGUGGGUAUCGAACAGGAUUAGAUACCCCAGUAAA